AAGGGUUCUUGUAGUUGAAUA
Molecule: transfer RNA, 21 nt
Filed under: Polypedates leucomystax (Java whipping frog)
Lineage: Eukaryota; Metazoa; Chordata; Amphibia; Anura; Rhacophoridae
Description: partial tRNA-Glu
Source: RNAcentral